This is an RNA transcript of Alosa sapidissima (American shad), 2789 nucleotides long. It is a transcript of the gene named arginine/serine-rich protein 1, with no coding region annotated. The transcript is spliced from 5 exons. Lineage: Eukaryota; Metazoa; Chordata; Actinopteri; Clupeiformes; Clupeidae. The record is from RefSeq and is a predicted model, not a curated record.
UCAUCGUGACUCGUGCGCAUACCGUAGUCGCCAUUGGAGACAGUCGGAAGGCCUAGUGGAAGUCCGUUAUUAUUUUGUUGCGAAUUAUUGUAAAUGUGAUCUCAGAAAAACUUAAACGAAUCCAUCAGUAAGUUUCCCUUGUAAACGUAUUUGAACUUCAAAUCAAAGGUUUCUUUAUUUACUUAACGUUAAUCCAGUUAAACAGACCGAACAGCGUGGCUUUAAGCGAGCUUAGCAGCUAAAUCUGACGACGUCAACGUGAAACUAUCGCUGAAAAAUAUGAAGACCACUGACAAGAGCAUGCAAACUCAGACAGCACGUCUCAGUGAGGGGCUGAGGUUGAUCUUUGAUCAAGAUCCAUCCGGCUCUCCCUCCUCUAGUCCCCAUUCCAGCAGCAGGAGCAGCCGCAGUACCAGCCGUGACCGUCGCUCAUCCAGAAGCACGAAGAGAUCUCAUAGGAGGAGACGUCACUCCAGAUCUUCCUCCAGUUCCUCUACAUCAAGCACCCAAUCUCGUUCCCGCUCUCAUCCACGAUGCCACAGACAAUCGUCACGCCACCGUUGCCGCCGUCAUCGCCACUCGCCACCUCGCCGCUACCGGGCACGCUCCCGCUCCUACAGCCCUUCCCCGUCAUCAGAUCGCCACCACACACGCAGAAGCCGCUCUCGCUCCAGGUCACCCGACAGCAGAAGGCACCGUGGCGUCGUUGGCCGAUACCGUAGCAGGCCCUCUGACUACAGCCGCAGGAGCAAGUCCCGGACACCCGAGCAGUCCUCAGUCCAUCUCAGUCAGGAUGAAAAAAGGGAGCUUCUGAGAAUUGCUGCGGAAAAUGCAGUGAAGAUUGUGGGGUCAGACCGGUUGCAGUUGCCUGAAAGUGUGAAGAGGACCCUCCAGUCGGAAGAGAAAGCAGCCCUUUCACCAGAUCAUAGCAGUCCAGUCCCAAGCAAAUGGGUGAGACCAGAGCCAGAACCCCAGCAGAGUCUAGAACAGGUGGGUGUCAACAGAAGCAGAUCAUUUAUUCUUUUGUGCGUCCUGUUUGAGGGAUAGAGCUACAGAAGACCUUAUUUUACACUUGUACAAUGUAACUGUACUUGAGCUACUACAAUGGAGAUGUGCAAGUAGUGUAGUAUUUGAAACUGACCAUUGCUAAUAUGGCUAUCUGAAUGCCCACACACCAGUCAAUAAGUAAAAGAUUGUUAAGAGUGAAGGGGUCUCUUUAUUUAUGUAUUUAUAUUUUUGUAAUUGUGAAACAUUUUUUAAACUGACACAUUUCUCUGGCUCGUUUCUAUAACUUUUCAAUUUCCUUUUGAUAAAGAAAGUGUAUUUGCAGGCAUCUGACUGGCCUGGAUCAGGCUGAUUUUAUAAAUAGUCCUCUAAACGCUGUGUGUUAAUUACAGCAAAGGCUUAUUCGGGUAAUUUGAGUCAUCGAGUCUGUCAUGGACAUUUAAAGAAAAUGUUGAAGAUAACAUGGUCUGCUCUCCAGCACCCCUCGGAUUUAGGAGAGCGAGGGGGCAGUCAUGUGACGCCACUGGGUUUGUGGAAAGGGUUAAUUCUUAAGUCUCACUUGCACAUUAAAGGUCAAGUAACAGUUGAUGCCUGUAGUGUACCUUGUUUAAUAAGUACAGUACAUAUUAGUAGCGCACCAUAGUUAAGUGUACAUCUUUGUAUAGCAUUGAUCUCCACCCUUUCAAAUUGGAGACUAGCUCGUUUCAACAUAGACAUUAAAGAAGUAGCCAACGCCUCAUAUCUGACUACAUGUAACGUACUAGCAGGAUCUGUUCUUCAUGCAUAACAGAAACGUUUGUUUGUUUGCUCUUGGUUGAAACGGAUGCGUUGUUAUUUGGCAGAGCCAUCCUCCAGCUUGCAGAAGAAGUGCAGGUGCUGGGACUGCACAGUAGUGACUAUCCCUGAGCUGAAAACUUAAAAACAGAAGAAGAAACAACCCCCUCCCCCUCUCCAUGUACCAAAGAUAAGUUUGUGCCCAUGCUGUGGCACAAGUUGGGGUUCAGAAACUGCAUCAUCAGAGAAAGGGAUCUUUUAUUUUUAUUUUUGUGCUGUUAUUUUUUCCUUUUCCCUUCAAAUAUACUGGAACUAACUGGUCCAAAAGUUCGGCAACUGCCCAUUGGCAGCAGUGCAGACAGAUAUCCGUUGUAACAUUGCAGAUCGUAGAUAUUAAGUCACAAUUAUGCCUGUACAUUGUGGCCUUAAUGACCUUGAGAUAGUCAUAUGCAUGGAUUGUUGUCUAAAGACAAAAAAAAGGUCACAUCUCUAUCAGUCUGAGGAUGAUGAAGAAAGUUUGAAAAGAGUUUGUGAUCACUUUGUUAAACAAGUCUGUUCCUUUUGUCUUUCUGGUAGAUCACAGAGAUGGCCUCAGAGGAUGGCGAAUUAAGCCCCAAGAUGUCUCCAAAGAGAAAACCCAUCACGUUCAGCAUCAAUAACACUGUUGCAAAGCCGACGAAUGGCAAACCUCAGGGCAUGGCAGAGGUUAAGGUAACCUCCAGGGUUGACAUCGUGGGCAGUAAAAAGCCUUAUGGCCAGUGGAUCCCCGUCAAGACAAAAGUCCUUCUUUCAUCAAAACAGUAGCAAGCUUGCUAGUCCUUGCUGAACUUUGUAUAUAUUGUAUUUAUUGUAUAUAUGGGAAGGGGGUGUAUAGAAUUCAUCAUAGAUAUUUUCUUGCAGAUGUACAGUAAAAAGCAGUUGAGGGAAUUGGGAAGAAGGCAAGAAGAAAAUCUACAGGUGGGAUAUUUUUGUGACGUUUCUGUGGUUUGAAUAAAGACAUAUAAUGUGGA